GUUUGUUUUGAUGACUAUAGAUUUUGGUUGGUAGAACACUUGUUUGCUAAUUUAUAUGGUGGAUCUUGAGGAUAUUUUGUGUAGUUUUACUGCAGCUUGCGUAUGUGUUUUUUUUAGUGGAAUUUCUGAUAUGUGUUUUGAGUAAAAUUUGACUUUUCAUGUGGCUUCAAAAUUAUUUUUUAUUGAUUUAAUAAUCUUAAAGCUAGAAGAAUGAUUCUUU
This 220-nucleotide unclassified non-coding RNA is filed under the name Hevea brasiliensis (rubber tree). Lineage: Eukaryota; Viridiplantae; Streptophyta; Magnoliopsida; Malpighiales; Euphorbiaceae. The record is from RNAcentral.